This 77-nucleotide ribosomal RNA is filed under the name Seriola lalandi dorsalis. Lineage: Eukaryota; Metazoa; Chordata; Actinopteri; Carangiformes; Carangidae. The record is from RNAcentral.
GCUUACGGCCAUACCACUCUGAACACGCCCGAUCUCGUCCGAUCUCGGAAGCUAAGCAGGGUCGGGCCUGGUUAGUA